UGGCUCAGUUGGUAGAGCAUGGUGUGUGCAAUGCCAGGGUUGUGGGUUCAAUUCCCAC
Salmo salar (Atlantic salmon) is the source of this 58-nucleotide non-coding RNA. The record is from Rfam. NCBI's taxonomy places the organism in Eukaryota, Metazoa, Chordata, Actinopteri, Salmoniformes, Salmonidae.